GUCCACGCCGUAAACGAUGUCUACUAGCCGUUGGGUUCCUUGAGGACUUAGUGGCGCAGCUAACGCAAUAAGUAGACCGCCUGGGGAGUACGGUCGCAAGAUUAAAACUCAAAUGAAUUGACGGGGCCCGCACAAGCGGUGGAGCAUGUGGUUUAAUUCGACGCAACGCGAAGAACCUUACCAGGUCUUGACAUCCAGAGAACUUUCCAGAGAUGGAUUGGUGCCUUCUGGAGCUCUGAGACAGGUGCUGCAUGGCUGUCGU
Molecule: ribosomal RNA, 262 nt
Filed under: uncultured bacterium
Lineage: Bacteria
Description: partial 16S ribosomal RNA
Rfam family: Bacterial small subunit ribosomal RNA
Source: RNAcentral